CUGUGAGCUCGAUGAGUAGGGCGGGACACGUGGUAUCCUGUCUGAAUAUGGGGGGACCAUCCUCCAAGGCUAAAUACUCCUGACUGACCGAUAGUGAACCAGUACCGUGAGGGAAAGGCGAAAAGAACCCCGGCGAGGGGAGUGAAAAAGAACCUGAAACCGUGUACGUACAAGCAGUGGGAGCACAGAGCAAUCUGUGUGACUGCGUACCUUUUGUAUAAUGGGUCAGCGACUUAUAUUCUGUAGCAAGGUUAACCGAAUAGGGGAGCCGAAGGGAAACCGAGUCUUAACUGGGCGUUAAGUUGCAGGGUAUAGACCCGAAACCCGGUGAUCUAGCCAUGGGCAGGUUGAAGGUUGGGUAACACUAACUGGAGGACCGAACCGACUAAUGUUGAAAAAUUAGCGGAUGACUUGUGGCUGGGGGUGAAAGGCCAAUCAAACCGGGAGAUAGCUGGUUCUCCCCGAAAGCUAUUUAGGUAGCGCCUCGUGAAUUCAUCUCCGGGGGUAGAGCACUGUUUCGGCAAGGGGGUCAUCCCGACUUACCAACCCGAUGCAAACUGCGAAUACCGGAGAAUGUUAUCACGGGAGACACACGGCGGGUGCUAACGUCCGUCGUGAAGAGGGAAACAACCCAGACCGCCAGCUAAGGUCCCAAAGUCAUGGUUAAGUGGGAAACGAUGUGGGAAGGCCCAGACAGCCAGGAUGUUGGCUUAGAAGCAGCCAUCAUUUAAAGAAAGCGUAAUAGCUCACUGGUCGAGUCGGCCUGCGCGGAAGAUGUAACGGGGCUAAACCAUGCACCGAAGCUGCGGCAGCGACGCU
RNAcentral lists this ribosomal RNA (819 nucleotides) under Escherichia coli. Its description in RNAcentral is "partial 23S ribosomal RNA". It matches the Rfam family "Bacterial large subunit ribosomal RNA", at positions 397 to 1215 of the family's 2925-position model. Lineage: Bacteria; Pseudomonadati; Pseudomonadota; Gammaproteobacteria; Enterobacterales; Enterobacteriaceae. RNAcentral also lists the same sequence under 2 other names. The record is from RNAcentral.